This is a long non-coding RNA of Triticum aestivum (bread wheat), 2272 nucleotides long. RefSeq lists it as uncharacterized. The record is from RefSeq and is a predicted model, not a curated record. Lineage: Eukaryota; Viridiplantae; Streptophyta; Magnoliopsida; Poales; Poaceae. The transcript is spliced from 10 exons.
CGCUACCGUCCUGGUCCGUGGAUCAGAAAGUUGCAAUUCUUACCGAGCCACAGAUCAGAUAACGACGGAAAAGCUAGGCCGUUUGUCGCAUGUUUCCUCUCAAGAACAGCUUCGUCCCCCUUUCGUCUACGAGUGAGCUGCUCGUGGCGGCGGCGCUAAUUUCGGCCACCCGCGGCCAAGGAAAAUGGAGGACGCUGGUGUGGAGUUUCUUCUGGACGCUGUCGACAGGUUCCCGCCGCGGGAGGAGUACGCGGACAACAUUGAACAUAGAUCCGGUUCCUCUGGUCUUGUUGCCCACAAGGGAAACCAAUCGUGGAGACCCUGAAGACUCAAAUGUCGGGUCUGGCUGCGGGCAAUGGCUCGGCGACGAUGGAGCUGACAAAGCACGAGACGGAGUUCGCCGACGUUCAGAUUCAUCUCCGACCAUGUCAGCGCAGUCAACUGACAAAGUCAACCCACAGGCCCCAAGUUGGAAAAAAAAGGUUGUGGCUGGGUAGUGCACCGACAAACCGAACAACGUGACCGUCUCGCAUUAGUACUCUUUAGCGGUCAAUUCGCAAAUAGGCGGAGGAACUGACAAAGAGUGUCGUACGACCAGCACUUGGCCUGAGUUUUGAUUCACUUGAUAAAACCUGAAAACUACUUUGACAAUUGAAGAUUUUUGGCAUCCGGUUGCCGGGAGCCAGGUGGCUUCUUGUUACAUGAAUCACUGUGAGCAGCUCAGAGCCUAAUUGUUGCUGGCAGACAGAACCAAGGUGCGGCAGAAGCAAACGAAGAGGACCAGCCUGGACCAGGAACUUCUAAUGGUGCAGGACAUCAAAACGGGAAAACUAUAAUGGAAGAAAUCUCAGAUUCCUUGAGCAGCGAUAGUGAUGGCAAUGGCGGUGAUCCAAACGAUAGCAUUAUCAGAGAGUAGAAGACAGAGGUUUGCCAUGCAAAUUUAGUGGUUUUGCUUCUUGUAAUUGUUGUGCUGACAUUUAACGUUUAUACAAACUUAAUAAAGGUCAACCCCUAGGGCUACAGAGUUCGCAGGGAAGCCUCCGUAUUAGGAAUGAUGUGGAAGGUGGCCAUGUCACAGGUGCACAUGACAGGUUUUGCGCCACGGGGUAUGAUGAGGCUGAGGCAAAGACUGCAGUUGAGGGACGGUGGUGACCAUGGAGCCGGUAGCAGCGGUGCCGCUGCCGGGGCUGAUCUUACUGAAGAAAACGGUGAGCAUCAAAGCAGGGAGGCACAGAGGACAUGGAACGAAAUGGCAGUUGUUGAGGAGCAAGCAAAGAUAGACCUUGAAUUGAGGGGUGGUGCAGCAAACAGUGGUGCGUUAGGGGCUUCCAGUGGACCUCCAGACGAAGAACACUAGCAACGUGUGUGCAGCCUGGCUGCGGCAGCUCUAUACUUAGUGGACAGAGCAAUAGACAAUUCCAUUCUCGCCUGUGCACAUUGCUAUGUCCUUUAUUGUUUUGCAUGUAGCAACCGGUGCAUUGCCGACAAACAUGCAUCUUUGAUCAAGCAAGGGCUCUGCUGUCAAGGCUGGGCGUAUGGAGAUAUUGGACAUGCUGCCUCUCCUGGAGGCCAAGAGAAAGGUGGAGAAACGGGAGAAGCUAGAGACGGCGUUGCUAAUGACGACAUUAAUUGGGAAGAACUGAAGAAUGAAAGCCGGGAAGCACCACCAAUGACAACUCAAGAACAAAUGGAUACUGAUAAUUAAUUUGCAUGAAAUCUUGAUCAUUAUGCAAUGGCAUAGAGCUGGACGUUGAAUUGAUGAAGAUCACAUAGAUUCGAUGUGGCAUCGAAGGUGCCAACAAAUUACAUGGGAGAGCAAGUUGCAUCAGGGGGAGAGUCCGAUACAAUUGAUGAAGAUCACAUAGAUUCGAUGCUGGCCUCCUUGAACAUGUGCAUUCCCCGGAUUGCGUGGACUGGAGCAAUGAUGGUGGUUGGGAGUGGCAGGCCUGGAGACGACGUGGACGAAGAUCCUCCGUGCAAUGGUGUGAUACUGCUUGGCUGGCAUAGUGAAGACCGUGAAGCAGAAGCUGAGUCUAGCAGCGAAGGUGUCCGUGCUAACCAGAAGCGGAAAAUCCUGUCGCCGCUUUGUGGAUGUGGUUACAAACUGUCGGCCUGGACUGUUUCAUCGAGAUGAUGAAGGUAUUCGUCCUUCCUAGGCAGGCAGAAUUGCUGUAACUAUGAUCCGGUGCCCAGCUGCUAAACAUUGUAUUAAGUGAAAAAAUUGGCCUCAGAUAGCGGAAAAAAAAUAGAGCUCUUGGGAUGCAGUACAAAA